AUGGAGAGGAAGCAGGCCGACUACAGCAACCUGGACGAGAGGUACACCAUCCAGGGGGAGAGGUACCAGGGUCAGCAGUACAGCCACAUCUACUACACCCGCCUCCACCACAUGCGCACCCUCCUCCACGUCCUCGUCCCCUCCCGGAAGCCGCACCUCCCCGUCACUACAGUGCUUGGACUCGAAGAAGGAAAAGAUUGUGUGCUUGUUGGGACUUUAUACAAGCACAUGAAACUGAAGCCUUCUAUUCUCGAUGAAUACUCAAAGGAGAGGUCGGCAAUCCCUCUUGUUAAGCCACACAAUUUCAUGCAUUCUGAUGAUAAUCUUAUUCUGGAAGAUGAAAGUGGAAGAGUUGCACUUGCAGGAGCCAUACCUCCAGCAGCUUAUGUGACUGGAGUUGUAGUAGCUCUUCAUGGGAAGGAAACAAGUGCUGGCAACUUUCUUGUUGAAGAUGUUAUGGAGGCUGGUCUUCCUCCUCAAACUGUGUUGCCCAGCAUAAAUGAGGACAAGUAUGUUGUUUUUGUGUCGGGAUUAAGUGUUGGGAGCAGCACAUUCAAUCCUCUGCAGUUCCAACUUCUUAUUGACCAUAUCACUGGGCAUUUGGGUGAUGAAAAUGAGCAAACCAUAGCAUCGAAGAUAGUUCGUGUUGUGGUUGCUGGAAAUUCAGUACAUAUUGCACCAAGGUUCUUGAAUGGCCAGACAGUAGCUGCAAAAGAUCAACCAAGGAUAGCUGAGCCAAUCAAAGAACUAGAUAUAAUGCUGACUCAGCUGGUGGCGUCAUUACCUGUAGAUAUAAUGCCAGGUUGUAACGAUCCAGCGAAUUUUGCUUUGCCUCAGCAGCCUUUGCAUAGAUGCCUUUUCUCUGGAGCAUCCACCUAUAAUACGUUUUCAUCAUGUCCGAAUCCACAUCAAUUCGAUCUUGACAAUGUCAAGUUUAUUGGAACAUCUGGGCAGAACAUAGAUGACCUCUACAGGUACUCGGAUGCCAAAGAUAGGCUGGAAUUCAUGGAAAGGACAUUGAAAUGGCGCCAUCUUGCUCCGACUGCACCGAACAGCCUAGGAUGUUAUCCAUACACAGACAAGGACCCUUUCCUCGUCGAAACCUGCCCCCAUGUUUACUUCGUCGGGAAUCAAGAUAGAUAUGAGACUCGACUGUUAAAAGGAACGGAGAAGCAGCAAGUCAGGCUAAUCAGCAUUCCAAGAUUUUGCGAGAGUGGAAUCGCUGUCAUGCUCAACUUGAGGAACUUGGAAUGCAGCACCUUGAGCUUCUCAACGAGCUUCGAGGACGCCUGA
This 1293-nucleotide ribosomal RNA is filed under the name Triticum aestivum (bread wheat). RNAcentral describes it as "partial small subunit ribosomal RNA". Lineage: Eukaryota; Viridiplantae; Streptophyta; Magnoliopsida; Poales; Poaceae. The record is from RNAcentral.